Long non-coding RNA from Magnolia sinica, 1060 nucleotides. RefSeq lists it as uncharacterized. The record is from RefSeq and is a predicted model, not a curated record. The transcript is spliced from 2 exons. NCBI's taxonomy places the organism in Eukaryota, Viridiplantae, Streptophyta, Magnoliopsida, Magnoliales, Magnoliaceae.
GGCAACAUAGCUCAACUAUAGCUUGGUAAUAGCUCGCUUAUAAAUCGGCGAAGCAGUUGCCCAUUACAGUCUGUCCAUGGAUCAAGCAGUCCGGUAAUAUCUCCAAUGACUCGAAGAUCUCUUCCAAGAUCUUCGGAAGAUAAGAUCAAAUCCCGAUAGAUUUGGGGUUGAGAUAAAAUCUCUGUAUAUAUCCUGGAUCUGAGCGGAUUCCCCUCCAAAUUAUCAGGAAAGAUUCCUCAUGACGCCUACAUUCUAUUCCUAUAAAUAGAGAUAUCCAUAACCUUUGAAAGGUACAUAUACUCAUCCUAAGACUUGACUGGUGACUCUUUUCUAAGAGAUCAUCCCCCUUAAAGACCCAGAGGCCAGACUUAAGCAUCGGAGGGUCCCUUGCACUAGCCAGGGUCUCCUUUGUUCGUUCCUUUUUCUUGUGCAGGUCCAGAAGGGUCAAUCGGGGACGGUCUACCGGAAAAUUGCAUCAACAACAACAUUAUUUGGUUUUAAAAGAUUCUUGGAUCUGAAUUUAGUGACUUCUUACCCUUCCUCUGUGGCAUCAACGGUUCCAGUCCUGUCGUACUGAAUUACACUGGCCAGAGCUGUGGUAUAUAUACCAUUACCGGCACGGACCUGAACUUGCCUGCCAUCACCAUAGCCUUUCUAAACCAAUCAAGAACCAUUCAAAGAACGGUCACCAACAUGGUUGCAAAUGAGACUAUAUAACGUUGGUUGGAGUUCCCCUUUUGGAGUUUCAGUUUCAGUGACACCCAAUCGUUUUUUCAUCGGUAGAGGUCAGAGGCAGAUUUUUAAGGCCAUCAUGAAUAGCUCCAUUUCCAGCUUCCGAAGAAUUGGGCUCUAUGGGAGCAAUGGCCACAUAUCGAUUGUUCCGUUAUCCGUUAUUUCAAAGAUUGCAUCUAACAUAACUAACAGCUGAAAAAGAUCUGUUGCUGCCGAGUGAUUUUUUAUUCUUUCCUAUUGUGUGUGUAAAUGUUGAAGCAUCUUUGUGAAAUGUAGUUCCAAUUGAUUAAUUGAAGAAUUCAAAUAAAUUGAUUAUGUUUCAAAUAAA